UAAAUAUGUGAUCUUCUAUUCUAUCAAAUAGAGAAGUGAAGAAAAUAAAGAUGUAGCCUUUGAGUUCUUUUCCUUUUCUUUCUUUCUUUCUUAUUUUAUUUUGUUUAUGGAAGUAAAAGUAAGUGCGUGAAAUUCCACCUCCCAUUUUCUAGGGCUUAUGAUGUUAUUAAAUCCUGUAUUUCUGAAACAUACUGCAAUCUUUGCUAUUAUAGUCCCUGGUGGAUAAUUGAUUCAUUGCAGAUCAGAUCUGUGUACAUUUUGGUGCAGUAAUUUGUUUGGGCUGAUUACAA
This 290-nucleotide unclassified non-coding RNA is filed under the name Hevea brasiliensis (rubber tree). The record is from RNAcentral. Lineage: Eukaryota; Viridiplantae; Streptophyta; Magnoliopsida; Malpighiales; Euphorbiaceae.